Pistacia vera is the source of this 1555-nucleotide long non-coding RNA. RefSeq lists it as uncharacterized. NCBI's taxonomy places the organism in Eukaryota, Viridiplantae, Streptophyta, Magnoliopsida, Sapindales, Anacardiaceae. The transcript has 6 exons. The record is from RefSeq and is a predicted model, not a curated record.
CGUCACUAUCUAUACAAAAUCCCCAAACCACUAAAACCCCACCGCCGACGACGCAAUUGCUGUCCACUUCUCCACUCCGUUCGCUUGUCUUCUCCAUUUGACGGCUAAAUCUCCAGUUGUUGAACUCCCUUUUUUUUUUUUUACUUACUUUGUGGAAGUGCUUUCAUUUCUCUAGUACUACUUUGUGUUUUUCUUACCUACUUCUGAUAACUUUUUGUGAAUCUUCUUUGGCUAUUUUGUACCAUAUGGUAAAAGUGCCCCUUUUCCGAAGUAAAAGUCCUGUUAGAAUGCUGAAUCUUCUUCGCCUACUUUGUGUUCCUACUUCUGCUGACUUUUAGUGAAUCUUCUUUGUUAUAUCAUUUUAUUGAUUCUUUCUUCUGGGGUUGUGUGCUCGCAAGAAGGAGCUGAAGAAUAAGCAGAGAGAAGAGGAGAGGAAGCGCAAAGAAGAGGAAAAGGCAAAACAGGGGUGGGGCCAUAAAGUUUUUGGGGACGAAGCGACACCACGACAAGUGGCUGAAAGACACUGAGAAUUAUGUGGUAAAAGGUGGCUUUGCAUUAUGUGGUAAGACUUUCUAAACUCUUAUAUAUUUGUGUUAUAUUUAGAGAUUUGCAGCUUUCAUGCCCCCUUUAACAUCUGGUCGUGUAAAUAUAGCAUCAACAGCAGUGUACAUAUCAAAGGUAAUAAUGGAUUUUAAAUCUGGUCUCCCUUCAGUUGUAAAACUUUUGCAGUUGUAUAUAAUUCUUGGGCCAGGGAUGCAGGUAAUCCUGAGAAACUUAAUGAACUAUCGGAAAUUAACAUUCUUCUCCUUUUAGAUUGGCUUAUCAAUAGCUAUAAGGUAUGCAUUAUCAAGGCGGACAUUCUCUAUUACACCAAAUGGACCUGAAAUCCUGUUGCUCGAUUAUCCAAGUCAUCAACGACGACUAUUGCCUCUCCUUGCAAAGACAUAUGCUAUGAGUUCUGCUGCAAACUACACGAAGAUGUUAUAUGUGAAUAGGACACCUCAGUCAAACAAAACCACUCAUGUUAUUUCAAGUGCAUUCAAGGCUACUUUUACCUGGCACAAUCAGCAAACACUACAGGCCAGGAACUUCAAGUACACAUCGAUUAUUUACAUUCAUGUUAAGUGGUCUGAUUCAGACUACUGUUCUUUUAGGAAUGCGGUGAAGCAUGUGGAGGACAAGGCCUGAAGACUGAAAAUCAUGUUGGUCAUUUGAAAAGUGAAUUUGAUGUGCAAUCUACUUUUGAAGGGGACAACAAUGUCCUGAUGUAGCAGUAAAUCCACGCCCUUGCAGACAAGACCGUGGAGUUGCUUGGAGUGACAAUUUUUAGGUUGUUAAGCAAAGGAUGCAGACUGGGCAGUUUGUUUCAGCUCCGGAUGUUGUAAGGAUUUAAGGGUUUAUACGCAGUAUGACAUUGAAAUAGUUAUGUUUACCUGGGGUUCAUUCUUCUUUUAUUUUGAUCUCUGUACUUUGGUUUUUAUUUUGUUCUUUGUACGGUAACAUGUAAAAAGUGUACCAUUCAAUAAAUUAAUUGAGAGAUUGUUGAAUGUUUAAA